UACGUAGGAGGCAAGCGUUAUCCGGAAUGACUGGGCGUAAAGGGUGCGUAGGUGGUUUGGCAAGUUGGUAGCGUAAUUCCGGGGCUCAACCUCGGCGCUACUACCAAAACUGCUGGACUUGAGUGCAGGAGGGGUGAAUGGAAUUCCUAGUGUAGCGGUGGAAUGCGUAGAUAUUAGGAAGAACACCAGCGGCGAAGGCGAUUCACUGGACUGUAACUGACACUGAGGCACGAAAGCGUGGGGAGCAAACAGG
RNAcentral lists this ribosomal RNA (253 nucleotides) under uncultured bacterium. Its description in RNAcentral is "partial 16S ribosomal RNA". It matches the Rfam family "Bacterial small subunit ribosomal RNA", at positions 524 to 776 of the family's 1533-position model. The record is from RNAcentral.